UGCGUUCAAGCAACUCUUCUGCCUCAGUCUCCCAAGUAGCUGGGAUUACAGAUCUGAACCAAAGCCAAGCAAAGCACCAUCACCUUCUGGAAAGUGCAGAAACUGCAAUCAAGAUCAACAAAGAAAAGCACCCUUCUCAUAGAUUCAUCUCUUUGGCGUUUAAGUGUUGGGGCGAGUCUACAAAACUCAGAUUCCUCAUUUAACUAGAUGUUCCAGGUCACGGCGAUAUUCUACUGAGGCAAUUUUCAAAAGACCAUAAAACCACCACAUCAAUUUAUGCUUGCAGGCUUUGUUAUGAAAAUAGGUAUAUAUAAUGAAGUGGGCUGCAAGGAAAUUACAUUUUGCAAAUACUCUCCUCUUAUAUCAAAGA
Molecule: long non-coding RNA, 370 nt
Organism: Chlorocebus sabaeus (green monkey)
Lineage: Eukaryota; Metazoa; Chordata; Mammalia; Primates; Cercopithecidae
Source: RefSeq, a predicted model, not a curated record